GAUGAACGCCAGCGACAGGCUUAACACAUGCAAGUCGAGGGGCAGCAAUUUGUAGCAAUACAAAGUUGGCGACCGGCGCACGGGUGAGUACCGCGUAUGCACCUCCUUCCACCAGAAGAAUAAUCCGGCGAAAGUCGGUCUAAUACUUCAUAAAACAGGGACAUCGCAUGGUGUUGUUUGUUAAAGAUUUAUCGGUUGUAGAUGGGCAUGCGUACCAUUAGGUAGUUGGUGAGGUAACGGCCCACCAAGCCUACGAUGGUUAGGGGUUCUGAGAGGAAAGUCCCCCACACUGGUACUGAGACACGGACCAGACUCCUACGGGAGGCAGCAGUGAGGAAUAUUGGUCAAUGGGCGAGAGCCUGAACCAGCCAAGUCGCGUGAAGGAUGACAGCCCUAUGGGUUGUAAACUUCUUUUGCAGGGGAAUAAAGAUAUUCACGUGUGGGUAGUUGUAUGUACCCUGCGAAUA
RNAcentral lists this ribosomal RNA (467 nucleotides) under Tannerella sp. oral taxon D91. RNAcentral describes it as "bacterial SSU rRNA". It matches the Rfam family "Bacterial small subunit ribosomal RNA", at positions 28 to 488 of the family's 1533-position model. The record is from RNAcentral. Lineage: Bacteria; Pseudomonadati; Bacteroidota; Bacteroidia; Bacteroidales; Tannerellaceae.